Molecule: unclassified non-coding RNA, 412 nt
Filed under: soil metagenome
Description: partial contains 5.8S ribosomal RNA, internal transcribed spacer 2, and large subunit ribosomal RNA
Rfam family: 5.8S ribosomal RNA (bases 1-120)
Source: RNAcentral
GAUGAAGAACGCAGUGAAAUGCGAUACGUAGUGUGAAUUGCAGAAUUCCGUGAACCAUCAAAUCUUUGAACGCAUAUUGCGCUCGAGGCUUCGGCCGAGAGCAUGUCUGCCUCAGCGUCGGUAUUACCCCUCGCUUCUCAACCCCUGGUUGAUGCCUGCCUGCCUUUGCAGUUGGCUAGAAGCGGAUCUGGCUUUCCCAAUUGCCUUUGGUAGUUGGGUCAGCUGAAGCACAGAGGCUUGAGCAAGGACCCUUAUUGGGCUUCACCUGGAUAGGUAGAACUGGUCUUAGGACCAACUACACGAAGUUGUUGCUUGUGGUCUUUGUCUGGAGGCCAGCAGGAAACCUUUAUACCUUCGACCUGAGCUCAGGCAAGAUUACCCGCUGAACUUAAGCAUAUCAAUAAGCGGAGGA